AGUGAACGCUGGCGGUAGGCCUAACACAUGCAAGUCGAACGGCAGCACAGUAAGAGCUUGCUCUUACGGGUGGCGAGUGGCGGACGGGUGAGGAAUACAUCGGAAUCUACUUUUUCGUGGGGGAUAACGUAGGGAAACUUACGCUAAUACCGCAUACGACCUACGGGUGAAAGCAGGGGAUCUUCGGACCUUGCGCGAUUGAAUGGGCCGAUGUCGGAUUAGCUAGUUGGCGGGGUAAAGGCCCACCAAGGCGACGAUCCGUAGCUGGUCUGGGAGGAUGAUCAGCCACACUGGAACUGAGACACGGUCCAGACUCCUACGGGAGGCAGCAGUGGGGAAUAUUGGACAAUGGGCGCAAGCCUGAUCCAGCCAUACCGCGUGGGUGAAGAAGGCCUUCGGGUUGUAAAGCCCUUUUGUUGGGAAAGAAAAGCAGCAGGUUAAUACCCCGCGGUUCUGACGGUACCCAAAGAAUAAGCACCGGCUAACUUCGUG
This 492-nucleotide ribosomal RNA is filed under the name uncultured bacterium. RNAcentral describes it as "partial 16S ribosomal RNA". It matches the Rfam family "Bacterial small subunit ribosomal RNA", at positions 29 to 507 of the family's 1533-position model. The record is from RNAcentral.